CUAUAUGGACACAGUGACCUGCAAGCUGUUUAUGAUACCAGGCAACAUAUCUUUAUUGAAGCAUUAUAGCAAUCUCACACCCUAUGGAGGAGCAAGUUAGGGAAAAGACUACAAUAUAUAACAGCACACUCACUUUUAAAGUUUUACCAAUGUUUCAGCAGCAAGUCUUUGUAAGGCACCAAGCAACAUUAGCAAUAUCUGUGUGCUCACAGAUAUGACAAUUGACAGAGACUGAAUACAUAACAGCAAAAAGGUGAAGGAGUUUUGCUCAGUUAUCACCAUAAGGAAUUUCCAAUUAUGAUGGACUUUGUGUUCCUUCACAUAUCCAUCUGAACAGGCCACAACUAGCUGAGACUUAAACCUGAAACACAUAAAAACAAAAAAAAUGGUAGCUAUGUUGCCCUGAAGGCAUUUUAUCAUAACGCAGUAUGAAAUAAUCCAAAAUAAUUACAAUGAAAUUACUGUACCUAAAACCACAAAUCCAAAGAUCUCAUCUGUUCUUGAUAGGCUUCCCCAAAAAUGAGUAAAGAGCAACAGGAAAACGUUAAAGCUGCCAGGAAUUCGCUCUAAUGAAUUGGUUCCACCUGUGCACUGACCUUUAAAUGGCAAAACGUCCAAAGCUGUGGGUAUCUGGAUUCUGUGAGCAGUACAAACUACUGUACAGGACAUCCAGUUUUUGGAAGGAAACGUACUUCCUCCAGCUGGCUUAUCCCAAAUAUAGCAGACCACCCUCCAACACAUGACCUCCAGCCACUGAGAUGAGACCACAGCAUGAUGUGGAAACACACAUGGUGCAAAAACUUCCACUGAACAGCAGAAAAUGACUGUGUUUGAUUGCACAUUCUCAUCUCAUCCAAGACCUUCAGAUCUAUAUUCUAACAUCAUCAAAAACCUAUGAGCUUUCAAUAACAGCGUCGUCUCUGAUCACAUAUGAAACGUGGUUUAAAAAAUACACUUUCAAGAACUUCACUGUAGAAAUCUGUUAACUCAGCAUGGUGUGUUUACAAAAAUAUCAUGUGAUGUUUACUAAGUGUACAGUAUCAUAUGGCCUAUGAAACCACAAAAAUCUGCUCUUAGAAUCAGCUCAAUGCAUUGGGAAGCUUUGGAAAGCACAUCAUCAAAAGUGCCCUUUACUAACACUGUCUUUAUAUGAUUAGCACCAAUCAAAACUUUUGAAACAAGAUGUUGAACUUCAAUUUUGUAGUAGCCUAUAUUUAAUUACCACACCUCAAGUAAGUGCUGUCUCCGGAUCACUUGGACCUUCUUAAGGGCUUCAGACCUUCAGCAGAAGAUCAGCUCUCACAAUCACACUUCUUUAAACUUCUUUAUAGACUGUGUGACUGGUGCUUAAGUAGAUAAUCAAAGGCACUUUGGUUUUAAGAGGCCUGAAAUUAAUGAAGAGGUCAAUUCUAAGCUUUCAUAUCUAUUAGAGAUAAAGACCGACACCAGACAGAGAGACCAUAAAAUGCAUUAUAUUAAUGCAGUUGGUUAUAUAUUUCCUUCCUUAAAUCGACAUGGACACAGACCUCAUUAAAUAAAUGAAAGAGCAAAGAGAGACUAUAAAAGGCC
Molecule: long non-coding RNA, 1569 nt
Organism: Cyprinus carpio (common carp)
Lineage: Eukaryota; Metazoa; Chordata; Actinopteri; Cypriniformes; Cyprinidae
Source: Ensembl